UGGGGAAUAUUGGACAAUGGGCGAAAGCCUGAUCCAGCAAUGCCGCGUGAGUGAUGACGGCCUUAGGGCUGUAAAGCUCUUUUACCCGGGAUGAUAAUGACCGUACCGGGAGAAUAAGCACCGGCUAACUUCGUGCCAGCAGCCGCGGUAAUACGAAGGGGGCUAGCGUUGCUCGGAAUCACUGGGCGUAAAGCGCACGUAGGCGGACUCUUAAGUCGGUGGUGAAAUCCUGGAGCUCAACUCCAGAACUGCCUUCGAUACUGGGAGUCUUGAGUCCGGGAGAGGUGAGUGGAACUGCGAGUGUAGAGGUGAAAUUCGUAGAUAUUCGGAAGAACACCAGUGGCGAAGGCGACUCGCUGGACAAGUAUUGACGCUGAGGUGCGAAAGCGUGGGGAGCAAAC
This 401-nucleotide ribosomal RNA is filed under the name uncultured bacterium. Its description in RNAcentral is "bacterial SSU rRNA". It matches the Rfam family "Bacterial small subunit ribosomal RNA", at positions 355 to 773 of the family's 1533-position model. The record is from RNAcentral.